This is a long non-coding RNA of Camellia sinensis, 305 nucleotides long. RefSeq lists it as uncharacterized. The record is from RefSeq and is a predicted model, not a curated record. Lineage: Eukaryota; Viridiplantae; Streptophyta; Magnoliopsida; Ericales; Theaceae.
AAAAAAUUGAAAUUUCAGAACACAGUUGCUUCAGCUCAGGUUUGAAUCUGUAUGUAUGUGUAAUGUGUGUGUUCGAUGAAUUUUGAUGGUGUGGAGAUGGAAUUGUGUUGUAGGGGUGGGAAGAAGGCGAAGGGCUUGGGAAAGAGAAGCAAUGGAUCAAAGGAUAUGUCAGGGUUAAGGACAAACAGGACACUGCAGGUAUUGGUGUAGAUGAACCCAAAAAUAAUUGGGCGUUUGAUACAUCACAGUUUGACAACAUCCUAAAGAGAUUGAAAGUGCAAGUAGCAGAAAUCAAGGAUGAAGGU